RNAcentral lists this ribosomal RNA (253 nucleotides) under uncultured Bacteroidales bacterium. RNAcentral describes it as "partial 16S ribosomal RNA". It matches the Rfam family "Bacterial small subunit ribosomal RNA", at positions 524 to 776 of the family's 1533-position model. Lineage: Bacteria; Pseudomonadati; Bacteroidota; Bacteroidia; Bacteroidales. The record is from RNAcentral.
UACGGCAGGUCCGGGCGUUAUCCGGAUUUAUUGGGUUUAAAGGGAGCGUAGGCCGGCUUUUAAGUCAGCUGUGAAAGUCCGCGGCUCAACCGUGGAAUUGCAGUUGAAACUGGCGGCCUCGAGUGGGCGAGAAGUAUGCGGAAUGCGUGGUGUAGCGGUGAAAUGCAUAGAUAUCACGCAGAACUCCGAUUGCGAAGGCAGCAUACCGGCGCCCGACUGACGCUGAGGCACGAAAGCGUGGGUAUCGAACAGG